RNAcentral lists this long non-coding RNA (5335 nucleotides) under Gossypium barbadense (sea-island cotton). Its description in RNAcentral is "long non-coding RNA (GBAR_LNC012199)". The record is from RNAcentral. Lineage: Eukaryota; Viridiplantae; Streptophyta; Magnoliopsida; Malvales; Malvaceae.
UUAGUAUGUGGUUGCCCUCUAGUUUCUGACUAAUGGUGACAAAUUGGAAGAGAUUUUGGACAUCUUUGAAUGGUGGUUCAAGUUUCCACACUGUUUUGGUGCAUCCAAGAAUAAUGUUGGUUCAUUUUUUGUCUCUGUCCAGCAACCUACAAGAAGAAAUAUUGUGAGACUUAAGGGACAAAAGAACAGCGUAGAGGAUAAAAAUUCUAGCCUGAAGUUUGGUAGCAAAUUUGAAGCUAUGAAUGGACAACAGUUGGAAUCCAUUUGAGUUUUGAACGAUGGCCGCUCUUCCAGUCAUAUCAUUUUGUCGAUUUUUAAUAAUGCUUAACGAUAAGAACCAUUGGGAGAAGUGUUUACCAAGUCUAAGAGAAGGCUGAGUCCUUAAUUGAAUAGUCUGAGAAAUAUUAGCAGGAAAGGAGUUGAGUAUCGAAUGGUAGAGAUAAAAAAUUCUUUUAAUAGCACCUAUAGGACAGGGACUAGAUCCUUAGAAGAUGAGUUCAUUUCUCAAUUGUCAUAUAAUCCAAAGGGCAUAGACCGUAACAAUGUAGAAGUUUCUUGAAUCCAGAGAGUUGAUACAACUUCUCUAGAGCCAGUAGGAUCCAGCUGGAGAUGAAUAAGUAAGAGAGUUGAAGUGGAGUGCAAGAGGGGAACCAAACUAAACGGCCCUUGCAAAACUACAAUUUAAGGAGGGAUGCAUAGGGGGUUUCCCUAUCUUCAUUGUAGAGAAGAUAGAGAUUAUCAUUAGUAGAGAGUUUUCUCGAUUCUUUAGUGGGGAGGCAAUUAUUUCAAAUCUUCCAUAUAAAAAUAAUGAUUUUGAAAGGAAUUGAUUAACUCAGGCAACUUGCUGAGAUUGAGAGUGUGUUGGGUUUUGAAUCGAGUUAAACAACAAAGAAUUAUUUAAAUAAUAAUGUCGAUUCAAACAACAAAAGAAUGGAGUCAAUCAACAAAACAAUCUGUUCAAAGUGGCUACAAUGCUUUUGCUUCUUAAACAAAGAAAGAAGAGAGCAAAAACGAAAAUGAGCCAAAGAAUGCAGCUUAAGAAAUCUGCAAACUGAUCUGCACUAUCUACUUUGUCUCUCAAUUUUUUAGUCAUAAAAAGAUUACAAUAUAAGUCAUUUGUUUUCACUAAACACACCUAACCCCACUAAUCUGCCUAGUAACAAGUGAAACAUAACUUGUAGACAUGCUGAUUUAUCUAAAUCAGUACCUAAACACCUGAAGUAAUUUACCAACUUAGCUCAUUUACAACUAAAUAACAUAACAAAAGAACUAGUAAUGAAACUAAAAGCUAAGCAGCAUACACACGUGCUGCAUGCAUGUGUGCAAACUAUGACAGUUACAUGCAAACACCAGAAAAAACAACCAGCUGCAUGGAUGGUCAUCUUCAACACUCCUCAUUGGCCUCCAUGUUGCUCACACCAUUCAUCUUCCUUAAAUAUUCAAACCUGACCUUUCCAAAUGGCUUGGUCAGUAUAUCAGCCAGUUUGCAUCUUGGCCAGCUCGCAAGCUUAUACUUUGAUGAGCUCGCACUUUUGCAGCUCGCAUUUCAUUCAACUUGCAGCUUGCACUUUGCACAGUUCGCACAUUUUUCAACUCGCACUUUUGCUGAGUUCAAAACUUGCAUUUUGGUGAGCUCGCACUUCACCCUGUUGCUUGCUACUGCAUGAUUGGCCAACUUGCAACACUCCUUCUUGACCAUUUUACAGCAAGCACCAAUGUUGUUUUCUUGUGCAACUUUUUUAAAAAUUGCAGGCUGCAACACUACUAAGUCACAUCUGUGAUAAGUUUCAACAAUAGGCCUGAUGCCUUUAACAGGAAGGUCAUCAAAGUCUUCAUCUUCAGCUUCAUCUUCAACUUUAGUCAUAUCCUCAAUCAAAUUUGACUUGAACAUCUGACUGAUAUGUGAUUCAUCCACUGAACUGGUAUAGGCCGCCCUCGAUGCCACAAAGUUCCAAUCCAACUCAAAGCUUCUAUUAUUCAUUGAGACUAUCAUAACUUCCUAUCCCAAUGAAUCAAAUACAAUGCAGCAUCUAUCUUUAAGAAUAACAGAGUAUUUCUUCUCAAGCAAUUGACCAAUGCUAAGGAGAUUAUGAUCUAACUCAGGCACUUAAAAUACGUCUGGAUUACUUUAGCACCUAUUGGGGUGCUGAUUAGGACAACACCUUUUCCUUUAGCCUCAAUAAACUAGUCAUUUCCAAUUCUGACUUUUGAAGCAAAACUAGUGUCAAUCUUCCUGAAAAUGCUCUCAUCAGAGGUCAUGUGGUUUGCACAGCCACUGUCAAUUAACCAACUCUUAUUGACUUUGCUGCUUGAAACAAAACAAGAGGCAGUGAACAGAUGCUCCUCCAGAGCUUGGUUUCCAUCAGCAGCCUGAGCGUGAACAUGGUUCUGCUAUUACUGCCCUUUAUUUUUGCACACAUUUUCCAUGUGUCUAAAUUGUUUGCAGCUUCUACAUUGAAUAUUAGAUCUGAACCAGCAAUAACUCUCCAGGUGAUUAGUCUUCUUGUAGCGAGAGCAUGGUGGAUUUUUCUCCUUUCCACUAUCUCUCCAACUCUUCUCUUUCUUCUUUGUCCAGCCUUUCUUUUCUUCAUUGCUUGAGGAGCUUCAGCCUUCUCUGUUUCUGGCCUGAAAGGCUCCUUCAGUGUGCUCCUCUUGCUUACUUGUCCUUCUCUGCUCUUAAGCAUACAAAGCAUUAAUCAACUCUGAAAAGGAGAUUGCUGAUAGGUUCCUCGAGUCUCAAAGAGAGGAAAUUUUUGACUCACACCUCCCAGGAAGUGUGUUUAUGACCUUUUCAACCACCCUUCUAUCACUAAAUUGAUCUCUAAGUAGCUUGAUGCUAUUGACCAUUGCCAUGGUCUUAUCUGCAUAUUGUUUCAUUAUUUCAGCCUCUCUCUUCUUCAAAUUCUCAAAAUCUCUCAUGAGAUUAAUGAGUUGUUGCUGUCUGGUUUUGUCUGACCCUUGAAACUCCUCCUUUAGCUUAUCCCAAGCUUGUUUUGGAGUCUCACAGGCCAUGAUUCUUGUCAAUAUCACAUCAAAAACUCCAUUCUGCAGGCAACACAUUACCUUGUACUUUUUGGCACAAUCAUCACUAUGUUGUCUGAUCUGUGCUAUAGUUGGAUUGGCCCUCAAUGGUGGUGGUUCAAUAUCAGCAUUCAUAACUUCCCACAAGUCAAAAGCUUGAAUGUAAGUCUUCAUUUUAACCACCCAGAUACUAUAUUUUUAACCAUUGAAAACAGGUGGUGGAGGAGGUGAAAAACUAGUUGAAGAUACUUUGACAGAAACAACAAGGAAAAUGACCCUCAAAUAUUAAUGGCUCUUGAUACCACUGUUGGGUUUUGAAUCAAGUUAAACAACAAAGAAUUGAUUCAAACAAUAAUGAAUCGAUUCAAAUAGCAAAAGAAUCAAGUCAAUCAACAAAACAAUAUAUUCAAAGUGGCUACAAUGAUUUUGAUGCUUAAGCAAAGAAAGAAGAGAGCAAAAAACGAAAAUGAGCCAAAGAAUGCAACUUAACAAAAUUUGCAAACUAAUCUGCACUAUCUGUUCCAUCUCUCAAUUUUUCAUUCAUCAAAAGAUUACAAUAUAAGUCAUUUGUUUUCAUCAAACACACGUAACCCCACUAAUCUGCCUCGUAACAAGUGAAACAUAACUUGUAUACAUGUUGAUUUGUCUAAUUUACCAACUUAGUUCAUUUACAACUAAACACCAUAACAAAAGAACUAGUAAUGAAACUAAAAGCUAAGCAGCAUACACACUUGCUGCAUACAUGUGUGCAAACUGUGACAGUUACAUGCAAACACCAAAAAACAAUCAGCUACAUGGAUGAUCAUCUUCAACAAAGAGUGGUAGAGGGGAUCUUUUGGAAAAGGAGGGAAUAAACAUUUUUAACCGUAAAAACCACAUUGUGAUUGGCUUUCCAGACUAUUUUGUCAUCUCCUUCCUAUAUGGAAAGUGUUCUACUAAGGAGAUCUGAAGCUCUGUUGAUAUCAAAAGAUCUAAGGGACUUAUUUUGAUCCCAACUAUUGAGAUGAGGAUAGAGAUAAGUUUGAACUUGAAAGUUGGAAGCAUACAGUUCAACAAUGUCAAUAAGGGGUUGGUUAGAGUUAGUGCAGAUCCAGCCGUUUCUUCCACCCCAAAGUUGAACAUCCUUCCAUCUUUUGCAAAUAUCCCUACCAACAAGAAUGCCUUUCUAGACCCAAAAUUUGGAAGGUUUUGGGUCAACAGAUUCAAAGGGGGUAUGACUGCAAUACUUAGCUCUUAGGACUUUUGAGAGCAUGCAGUUUUGGUCUGUCAUUAUUCACCAGGUGACUUUCGAUAGGAGAGUUCCGUUGAAGAGUUUAGUCUUACUAAUUCCCAAUCCCCCUUGUGAGAUGGGAGCACCGAGUUUAUCUCAUUUACAAUGAUGAAAUUUCGUAGUGUUUGUGUUAUGACCCCAUCAGAAGGCACUAAUUACUUUAUCAAUUUCAUCACAAAUGUUCGUGGGGCCUUUGAAAGCUGAAAGAAAAUAGAGGGGAAGCGAAGUCAGAGUGGAUUUAAUAAGAGUGAGUCUUCCACCCGGCAACAAACAUUUUGUCUUCCAGGGAGCAAGUUUGUUGUUAACUUUGUCUAAUAAGUUAUUAAACAACUCUUUCUUCUUUUGCAAUUUCCCCAGUUCAAACCUCGAAUUCUUGCCAGGAAGGUAAACUCUUUUGGCAUUAAAAAUGGCAAUAAACCAUCUCUUUACAUGUUGCUUACUAGAAAGACUAAGAAAAGCUUAGACUUAGCAAAAUUAAUUUGGAGACCCGAAAGAGAGCAAAAUUUCAUAACCUUGAGAGAUCUGCAUGUCUGCAUAGAAGCAUUAAAAAAGAUGUAGCAAACUAGCAAUCAUUCGCAAAGAGAAAAUGAUUAAUAGAAGGCAAUCUUAAAAAUCUUAAUUCCAUGAAUGGAUCCAUUCACUUCAGCUUUAUGAAGCAUGAGUGAGAGGAUGUUCAUGCACAAAACAAAAAAAAUAAGGGAAAAAGGAUCCCCUUAGCACAAACCUUGAAAAGGGUGAAGUCUUUCAAAAGAGAGCCAUUAAUAAGGACCUAGUAAGAGAUAGUGGAGAUACACUGAUGAAUUAAAUUGAUCCAUUCACGUUCAAAUCCCAUAUGCUUCAUGACAAUAAGAAUGAAAUCCUAAUUGAUCUUGUCAAAGGUUUUUCUCAUAUCAAUUUUAAAAGCAGCGAGACACUCUUUACCUCUCAUUUCUCUCUUGAUGGAGUUGUCCUUUGAAUGGAGUGGAUAAAUUCACUUGGAGAAUAAUACCACAUGAGAUAAGGCGUCUAGGGACAAAAGCAUUUUAUAUUUAAAAUUGAGAUUUU